RNAcentral lists this ribosomal RNA (249 nucleotides) under Aeromonas sp. '8.3 MW-10'. RNAcentral's name for it is "partial 16S ribosomal RNA". It matches the Rfam family "Bacterial small subunit ribosomal RNA", at positions 234 to 480 of the family's 1533-position model. The record is from RNAcentral. Lineage: Bacteria; Pseudomonadati; Pseudomonadota; Gammaproteobacteria; Aeromonadales; Aeromonadaceae.
GUAAGGAUUAGCUAGUUGGUGAGGUAAUGGCUCACCAAGGCGACGAUCCCUAGCUGGUCUGAGAGGAUGAUCAGCCACACUGNAACUGAGACACGGUCCAGACUCCUACGGGAGGCAGCAGUGGGGAAUAUUGCACAAUGGGGGAAACCCUGAUGCAGCCAUGCCGCGUGUGUGAAGAAGGCCUUCGGGUUGUAAAGCACUUUCAGCGAGGAGGAAAGGUUGGUAGCUAUACUCCANCUGUACGUUCUC